Molecule: long non-coding RNA, 263 nt
Organism: Lemur catta (Ring-tailed lemur)
Lineage: Eukaryota; Metazoa; Chordata; Mammalia; Primates; Lemuridae
Exons: 3
Source: RefSeq, a predicted model, not a curated record
CAGCCAGUUUGGCAACUAGGAAGGCAUUACUGGGUCAGAAUUUAGGGAAUUAGGAAAUACUUACGACCAUGAUGAUGCAUCGUGGGGCUUCUCGGAUGACGACUGUUUCCACUAAUACCUGCCUGUUCUGUUCCCCACCUUCACACGCACGAGAAAACAGAAAUUUUGACAACUGCUCACGGAUUCCUGGAGAUGUCUGGUGACAGUCAUGCUUCUCACCUCCAGCACCAUGAAUUGCUCCUCAUCAUUCAUAGUUCACUCAC